UAUUUGUUACAUCCGACAUUUUUGCUUAUUCGAAAAUUCAAGGUAAAUUGACUUGCAAUGAAUAAGGCCACAAUUGGACCUUACUUGGCAUGAAUGUGUAGGUAAUGAAUACAAUGGUGUGGAAUUACGAAAGGUGGCCAAGGGCAAAAAUUGGAAUUUUGGAAAUUUGCCUUAUGGAUUGCAAUAUGUAGCUAACAAGUUGGACUUAAAAAAAAAAACAAUAAAACAAGGCCCAAAAGGGAAGGCCCAACCAGCCAUGCUAUGUAAAAAAAAAGGGCCCAAGUCCAUGAUUUAAUUAGGUAAUAUUAUAUAUGGUUAUACAUAUCCAUAGAAGGUUCAAGAAAGCAAGAAAAAUCAAGAAAAAGAGAACAAGACCAUUUCGGGUUUGAGAGGAGAAAAAGAAAGAAAAGAAAGAAAAAUUUUGGAGCCUAAUCCUUGAGUUUAAAAUUCAAUUCUUGUGGGAAUACUACUAAGUGCAAAGUCCUCUACAACUUGGUACAAUUAGUUUGGCAAGAGGACAAGUUUAGUGCCAAGUGAAGAACUUGAAGAAAGAUUUUGGACGAAAUUGAAGUCGACGCCAAGCGAGCGUAAGGCGCUAUCGAGGUACAGACGCACCAGGUGAUACGCCGCCAGCGUAGGGUUCUAAUUCUGCUGUUUGAAGAGCUCCUUUGAUCCGGAGCGUAUACUUUUGGUAUAUAUCUUCUGUCUUCUGUAUACUCUGUAUGUAUGGAUAUUCUGGGUACGGCGGGGCCCUGUCCCGUCAUAUGAUUUUGUAUGUCUGUAGAGGCCUGUAGAUAGAUGUGUGGGUUACGGGUUUCGUCUGUAUGUUAGCCUUAUCGGCUUAUAUGUAAAAGUCUGCAUGUUCAGGUAUAUAUAUAUAUAUAUAUGU
This is a long non-coding RNA of Lycium barbarum (goji berry), 889 nucleotides long. RefSeq lists it as uncharacterized. The record is from RefSeq and is a predicted model, not a curated record. NCBI's taxonomy places the organism in Eukaryota, Viridiplantae, Streptophyta, Magnoliopsida, Solanales, Solanaceae. The transcript has 3 exons.